AUUGAACGCUGGCGGCAUGCUUUACACAUGCAAGUCGAACGGUAACAGGCCGCAAGGUGCUGACGAGUGGCGAACGGGUGAGUAAUGCAUCGGAACGUGCCCAGUCGUGGGGGAUAACGCAGCGAAAGUUGCGCUAAUACCGCAUACGAUCUAUGGAUGAAAGCGGGGGACCGUAAGGCCUCGCGCGAUUGGAGCGGCCGAUGUCAGAUUAGGUAGUUGGUGGGGUAAAGGCUCACCAAGCCGACGAUCUGUAGCUGGUCUGAGAGGACGACCAGCCACACUGGGACUGAGACACGGCCCAGACUCCUACGGGCGGCAGCAGUGGGGAAUGUUGGACAAUGGGCGCAAGCCUGCUCCAGCAAUGCCGCGUGCAGGAAGAAGGCCUUCGGGUUGUAAACUGCUUUUGUACGGAACGAAACGGUCCUGGUUAAUACCCGGGGCUAAUGACGGUACCGUAAGAAUAAGCACCGGCUAACUACGUGCCAGCAGCCGCGGUAA
RNAcentral lists this ribosomal RNA (498 nucleotides) under uncultured bacterium. RNAcentral's name for it is "partial 16S ribosomal RNA". It matches the Rfam family "Bacterial small subunit ribosomal RNA", at positions 29 to 523 of the family's 1533-position model. The record is from RNAcentral.